Molecule: ribosomal RNA, 163 nt
Filed under: uncultured bacterium
Lineage: Bacteria
Description: partial 16S ribosomal RNA
Rfam family: Bacterial small subunit ribosomal RNA
Source: RNAcentral
UAGGGAAUCUUCCACAAUGGACGAAAGUCUGAUGGAGCAACGCCGCGUGAGUGAAGAAGGGUUUCGGCUCGUAAACUCUGUUGUUAAAGAAGAACAUAUCUGAGAGUAACUGUUCAGGUAUUGACGGUAUUUAACCAGAAAGCCACGGCUAACUACGUGUCAG